UUGCGAGCGUCCGCAGCUUGCGCAUAGAGUAACAGAAAAUGACAAGAGUGGACACACGAGCCUAUAAGCGGCGGAGCUACGCAGCUUCUCGCCAGCCGUUAGACGGCAGCACGUCACUCCCUGUUUCCAAGAGAACGCACGUACUAGUUAUCUACUGCAGUACCUUUUCUGGUUCACGAUACAUCUACUUGUCUUUGUCAGACUAUGUGGCUGCGGCAGUGGCUUCCGCUGGCUCGCAGUGCGGCUCUAAAUCCGUCUUUAUCGUCUGCGAUUGGACAGUUCGAAAUCAUCGAUUGGUAGCUGUCAUGACCAUAUAUGGUCAGGAUUGCCGGCAUGGCAAGACGACGCGGUGCUCCGUGGAAUUCGCUGGGAUCGUCUGCCGGGAAGUCACUCUGCUUGGCGGCUGCUUGGUCAUGCCGUCCGGAGUCAAGUACUACGGCAGCUACUGCUGCGCUGUGUGGUGCAACAACGGCAGGAUAGGGAGAGAGCGUGGUACUAAGUGGUUCAGGAUUCCGCGAGACGACAGGUAGCCCUUUGCACCUUUCCAAGAUGUAAUUUUGAAGUUGUGGUUGUCAUUAGCUAACUAUCAAAGUAUGUCCGUAUCUUUCGCACUAUUUUGCCGUUCAGCUAGUUAGUGUUUGGAUGGUCAUACAUAUUCUUCAUUCGCUUAAAUCGAGUGGCCCCUUUUCACUCUGAAAUCCCCUUUUCCUCUGUGAUGCUAAUGCUGUCUUCUGCACUUUUAUUGUAUUGUGAGAAUUUUCUCAAUAUCGCCUAUUUAUUCCUACUGUGCAAUUUCUCAACAUGUGGCAGCUGUCUUGCAUUGUGCAGUGCACCCAUCUUUUGUAUGUGCUUAUUGAGAAUGUGACUUGAAAUAAAAUGUUUCGUCUGUCCCA
This is a long non-coding RNA of Rhipicephalus sanguineus (brown dog tick), 893 nucleotides long. RefSeq lists it as uncharacterized. The record is from RefSeq and is a predicted model, not a curated record. NCBI's taxonomy places the organism in Eukaryota, Metazoa, Arthropoda, Arachnida, Ixodida, Ixodidae. The transcript has 2 exons.